This 248-nucleotide ribosomal RNA is filed under the name uncultured Muribaculaceae bacterium. RNAcentral's name for it is "partial 16S ribosomal RNA". It matches the Rfam family "Bacterial small subunit ribosomal RNA", at positions 524 to 772 of the family's 1533-position model. The record is from RNAcentral. Lineage: Bacteria; Pseudomonadati; Bacteroidota; Bacteroidia; Bacteroidales; Muribaculaceae.
UACGUAGGGGGCGAGCGUUAUCCGGAUUUAUUGGGCGUAAAGAGUUCGUAGGCGGUUUGUUAAGUCUAAAAUUCAAGCCCGAGGCUUAACCUCGGUUCGUUUUAGAAACUGGCAAACUUGAGUGUGGUAGAGGCAAGUGGAAUUUCUAGUGUAGCGGUUAAAUGCGUAGAUAUUAGAAGGAACACCAGUGGCGAAGGCGGCUUGCUGGGCCAUUACUGACGCUGAGGAACGAAAGCGUGGGGAGCAAA